Molecule: non-coding RNA, 28 nt
Filed under: Homo sapiens (human)
Lineage: Eukaryota; Metazoa; Chordata; Mammalia; Primates; Hominidae
Source: RNAcentral
UAGAUAAAGCAGGAACGCGGUGGUGAAA